UACGGGGGGGGCAAGCGUUGUUCGGAAUCACUGGGCGUAAAGCGCACGUAGGCGGAUCUUUAAGUCAGGGGUGAAAUCCUGGAGCUCAACUCCAGAACUGCCUUUGAUACUGAGGAUCUCGAGUCCGGAAGAGGUGAGUGGAACUCCGAGUGUAGAGGUGAAAUUCGUAGAUAUUCGGAAGAACACCAGUGGCGAAGGCGGCUCACUGGUCCGGUACUGACGCUGAGGUGCGAAAGCGUGGGGAGCAAACAGG
RNAcentral lists this ribosomal RNA (253 nucleotides) under uncultured bacterium. RNAcentral describes it as "partial 16S ribosomal RNA". It matches the Rfam family "Bacterial small subunit ribosomal RNA", at positions 524 to 776 of the family's 1533-position model. The record is from RNAcentral.